UGCUGGGAUUACAGAUGUGAGCCACCACGGCCAGCCUGAUUUGAUGUUUUAAAAAGCUGGAUUAUUCCCCCAAGAAAAUGGGAGACAUAAUAGGAGAUAAGAUAGAGAAAAAGAGACAAACAUUAUCAGGCUUCUCUCAGAACUAUAGAAUUAUGAAUCAUUGCUUCCUACCCAAGGCUGUUGUUUCAAAUUGCUUCAAGGCCUAAUACCAUUAAAUAGAAGGUCAGAUCGAUGAAUAGGUUACAAAAAUGAAGCAUGGAAUGGAAAAUCUCUUAUUGUCCCGUCACACUAUUUCAUCAGAAAAAAAUUUGAGGCGGCGGGGGGCAGAGUCUCACUCUGUUGCCCAGGCUGAAGUGCAGUAGCGUGACUAUGGUUCACUUCAGCCUCAACUUCCUGGGCUCAAGUGAUCCUCCCACCUCAGCCUCACAAGUAUCUGGGACUACAGGCAUGCUUCACCAUGGCUGGCUAAUUUUUAAAUGCUAUUUUUGUAGAGAUGGGGGUCUUGCUGUUUUGCCAGGGCUGGUCUCAAACUCCGUGGCUCAAGUGAUUCUCCCACCUUGGCUUCCCAAAGUGCUGGGAUUGGCCAGGCGUGGGGGCUCACGCCUGUCAUCCCAGUGCUUUGGGAGGCCAAGAGGGUAGGAUCACAUGAGCUCAGGAGUUUGAUCAGCCUGGGCAACAAAGAGAAACCCUGUAAAAAAAAUUAGCCAGGCUUGGUGCCACACACCUAGG
RNAcentral lists this long non-coding RNA (729 nucleotides) under Homo sapiens (human). RNAcentral describes it as "HSALNT0121553". The record is from RNAcentral. Lineage: Eukaryota; Metazoa; Chordata; Mammalia; Primates; Hominidae.